Molecule: ribosomal RNA, 161 nt
Filed under: Amanita sp. 'salmonriverensis'
Lineage: Eukaryota; Fungi; Basidiomycota; Agaricomycetes; Agaricales; Amanitaceae
Description: Amanita 'salmonriverensis' 5.8S ribosomal RNA
Rfam family: 5.8S ribosomal RNA
About the family: 5.8S ribosomal RNA (5.8S rRNA) is a component of the large subunit of the eukaryotic ribosome. It is transcribed by RNA polymerase I as part of the 45S precursor that also contains 18S and 28S rRNA. Functionally, it is thought that 5.8S rRNA may be involved in ribosome translocation.
Source: RNAcentral
ACAACUUUCAACAAUGGAUCUCUUGGCUCUCGCAUCGAUGAAGAACACAGCGAAAUGUGAUAAGUAAUGUGAAUUGCAGAAUCCAGUGAAUCAUCGAAUCUUUGAACGCAUCUUGUGCUCCUUGGCAUUCCGAGGAGCAUGCCUGUUUGAGUGUCAUUAAA